AAUCAACGCUGGCGGCGUGCCUAACACAUGCAAGUCGAACGCGAAGGGGGCUUCCGCCCUGAGUAGAGUGGCAGACGGGUGAGUAACGCGUGGGUGACCUACCCUCGAGCGGGGGAUAACGUCCCGAAAGGGACGCUAAUACCGCAUGACAUCCUGCCCUUGGACGGGCGGUGAUCAAGGCUGGGGAUCGCAAGACCUGGCACUUGAGGAGGGGCCCGCGUCCGAUUAGCUAGUUGGUGAGGUAACGGCUCACCAAGGCGACUAUCGGUAGCCGGCCUGAGAGGGCGGACGGCCACACUGGGACUGAGACACCGCCCAUACUCCUACGGGAGGCAGCAGGGGGGAAUUGUUCGCGAUGGGCGCAAGCCUGACGACGCAACGCCGCGUGGAGGAUGAAUAUUUUCGGAUCGUAAACUCCUGUCGAAUGGGACGAAUGACCUGGCCGUGAACAGCGGUCGGGAAUGACGGUACCGUGAGAGGAAGCCCCGGCUAACUCCGUGCCAGCAGCCGCGGUAAUACGGGGGGGGCAAG
RNAcentral lists this ribosomal RNA (531 nucleotides) under uncultured bacterium. RNAcentral's name for it is "bacterial SSU rRNA". It matches the Rfam family "Bacterial small subunit ribosomal RNA", at positions 28 to 538 of the family's 1533-position model. The record is from RNAcentral.